Molecule: ribosomal RNA, 254 nt
Filed under: uncultured bacterium
Lineage: Bacteria
Description: partial 16S ribosomal RNA
Rfam family: Bacterial small subunit ribosomal RNA
Source: RNAcentral
UACGGGGGGAGCAAGCGUUGUUCGGAUUUACUGGGCGUAAAGGGCGCGUAGGCGGCCACGACAAGUCACUUGUGAAAUCUCCGGGCUUAACUCGGAACGGUCAAGUGAUACUGUCGGGCUAGAGUGCAGAAGGGGCAACUGGAAUUCCUGGUGUAGCGGUGAAAUGCGCAGAUAUCAGGAAGAACACCCGUGGCGAAAGCGGCUCUCUGGAACGGUACUGACGCUGAGACGCGAAAGCGUGGGGAGCGAACAGG